RNAcentral lists this ribosomal RNA (439 nucleotides) under Albinaria virgo. Its description in RNAcentral is "partial 12S ribosomal RNA". Lineage: Eukaryota; Metazoa; Mollusca; Gastropoda; Stylommatophora; Clausiliidae. The record is from RNAcentral.
UUUUAAAAAUUUUCUUUUAAGUGGUAUAGUAAGUAGUGAAAUAUUAUUAUAAGCCUUAAUUCAUAAAAGUAAGUACUAUAAUAAAUUCAUUCUAUAAACUAGGAUUAGAGACCCUACUAUUAUGAACUCAAUCAUUUAUUUACUAAGGAGUAAAACUAUAUAGUUUAAACUUAAAAAUUAUGGCGGCUAAAUAAAACACUUAGGGGAACUUACCAUAUAAUUGAUAGUCACCAAGCAUAAUCAUACUUACUUUUAAAAUUUGUAUACCGUUGCCUUCAUGAGCCCCUUCGAAGGGGCUCAUGACUAUUAAUUAAAUAUUAAGACAAAUCAAGGUGCAGUUUAUUAGUGAGAACUAAGGUGAGUUACAAUAAAAAAUUUUUUUCGGAAUUUUUAAUGAAAGAUUAUAUAAAGAUGGACUUAAAAGUAAUAAUUUAAGAAU